Molecule: non-coding RNA, 214 nt
Organism: Pelobates cultripes (western spadefoot toad)
Lineage: Eukaryota; Metazoa; Chordata; Amphibia; Anura; Pelobatidae
Source: the annotation of a GenBank genome assembly
GAGGAUAGUCAAGGGGUAGCCAAAGUCAAAGGAUGCCAGAGGUCAGAAUAAAUGAAGAGUAGCCAAAGUCAAAGGAUGCCAGAGAUCAGGAUAAAUGAAGUGUAGCCAAAGUCAGGGGAUGCCAGAGGUAAGGAUAAACAAAGCCAGAAGCCUGGGUCAAUAUGGAGUACAAGUUCAGGAGACUUGAAAACAGGAACUGAACACUUAAACCAGG